UACAGAGGUCUCAAGCGUUGUUCGGAUUCAUUGGGCGUAAAGGGUGCGUAGGUGGCGCCGUAAGUCAGGUGUGAAAUCCCGGGGCUCAACCCCGGGACUGCACUUGAUACUGCGGUGCUCGAGUACUGGAGAGGAGAUUGGAAUUUACGGUGUAGCAGUGAAAUGCGUAGAUAUCGUAAGGAAGACCAGUGGCGAAGGCGAAUCUCUGGACAGUUACUGACACUGAGGCACGAAGGCCAGGGGAGCAAACGGG
This 253-nucleotide ribosomal RNA is filed under the name uncultured bacterium. RNAcentral's name for it is "partial 16S ribosomal RNA". It matches the Rfam family "Bacterial small subunit ribosomal RNA", at positions 524 to 776 of the family's 1533-position model. The record is from RNAcentral.